GAUGAACGCUGGCGGCGUGCCUAAUACAUGCAAGUCGAGCGAACGGACGAGAAGCUUGCUUCUCUGAUGUUAGCGGCGGACGGGUGAGUAACACGUGGAUAACCUACCUAUAAGACUGGGAUAACUUCGGGAAACCGGAGCUAAUACCGGAUAAUAUUUUGAACCGCAUGGUUCAAAAGUGAAAGGCGGUCUUGCUGUCACUUAUAGAUGGAUCUGCGCUGCAUUAGCUAGUUGGUAAGGUAACGGCUUACCAAGGCAACGAUGCAUAGCCGACCUGAGAGGGGGGUCGGCCGCACGGGAACGGAGACACGGUCCAGACUCCUACGGGAGGCAGCAGUAGGGAAUCUUCCGCAAUGGGCGAAAGCCUGACGGAGCAACGCCGCGUGAGUGAUGAAGGUCUUCGGAGCGUAAAACUCUGUUAUUAGGGAAGAACAUAUGUGUAAGUAACUGUGCACAUCUUGACGGUAACUAAUCAGAAAGCCACGGCUAACUACGUG
This 497-nucleotide ribosomal RNA is filed under the name uncultured bacterium. Its description in RNAcentral is "partial 16S ribosomal RNA". It matches the Rfam family "Bacterial small subunit ribosomal RNA", at positions 28 to 507 of the family's 1533-position model. The record is from RNAcentral.